AUGAGGUUCGUUUCGUGACUGUGUGUUAAUAAAAUUAAGAGGAUUAUCAAGGGACUAAUUUGUUUGCGAUGCUGUGCAGGGUAACAGCGUUGGUGGAGGGAGCCGGGAUCAGGGCAGAUCAGGUGACGGACUGGACGCGAGUGUAAGUAAUUUGUAACACAUUAGGGUGCGUGUUUUGGGUGUGUAAUCAAUGAAGGGAUUGAAUUUGAUGUGUUAUAAUGCGUUUUCAGGCAAUGACUGAUUUGGAUGCUUUAGUGUUGGCUGCUUCAGGAGAUAUGGCUGGUGGCAGGCAAUCAGAGGUAAGAGAGAUCUUUGGCUAUUAAUAUAUAGAGAAAAAGACAAAAAUAGCACUAAAUCAAGUUUAUGUUCCCAAACUAGCACUCAAGGUCAAAAGUCACAAAAAUAGCACUUAAUGUUUUAUCAAAAGUCACAAACUUAGGGUUUAGAGUUAAAGGGUGGGGUUUAGGAUUUAGGGUUUAGGGUUUAGAGUUUAGAGUUUAGGGUUUAGGGUUUAGGGUUUAGAUUUUAGGGUUUAGGGUUUAGGGUUUAGAGUUUAGGGUUUAGGGUUUAUGGUUUAGGGUUUAGGGUUUAUGGUUUAGGGUUUAGGUUUAGAGUUGAGAAAUGAGGUUUUGGGGAUAAGAUUUCAAAUUUUGAAAAAUAAAAAAAUUAAAAUUUUCAAAGGAUAAACUUAGAAAGGUUUAGGGUUUAGGGUUUAGAUUUUAGGGUUUAGGGUUUAGGGUUUAGAGUUUAGGGUUUAGGGUUUAUGGUUUAGGGUUUAGGGUUUAUGGUUUAGGGUUUAGGUUUAGAGUUGAGAAAUGAGGUUUUGGGGAUAAGAUUUCAAAUUUUGAAAAAGAAAAAAAUUAAAAUUUUCAAAUGAUAAACUUAGAAAUGUGCUAUUUUGGUCAUUUUAGUUUUUGAGUGCU
Molecule: long non-coding RNA, 923 nt
Filed under: Brassica napus (rape)
Lineage: Eukaryota; Viridiplantae; Streptophyta; Magnoliopsida; Brassicales; Brassicaceae
Description: long non-coding RNA (BNAP_LNC013285)
Source: RNAcentral